GAGUUUGAUCCUGGCUCAGAGUGAACGCUGGCGGCGUGCUUAACACAUGCAAGUCGAACGAGAACGCUUCUGCUUGCAGAAGCUAGUAAAGUGGCGCACGGGUGAGUAACGCGUGGGUAAUCUACCCUUGAAUUGGGGAUAACAUUGCGAAAGCGAUGCUAAUACCGAAUAAUAUCCUUUGGCCUACGGGCCAUUGGAUCAAAGAUGGCCUCUUCUUGAAAGCUAUUGUUUGAGGAUGAGCUCGCGUGCCAUUAGCUUGUUGGUGGGGUAACGGCCUACCAAGGCAACGAUGGUUAGCUGGUCUGAGAGGAUGAUCAGCCACACUGGAACUGACACACGGUCCAGACUCCUACGGGAGGCAGCAGUGAGGAAUUUUGCGCAAUGGGGGAAACCCUGACGCAGCAACGCCGCGUGAGUGAUAAAGGCUUUUGGGUCGUAAAGCUCUGUCAAGUGGGAAGAACCCGCAUAUGGCUAAUAUCCAUGUGCGCUGACGGUACCACUGAAGGAAGCACCGGCUAACUCCGUGCCAGCAGCCGCGGUAACACGGGGGGUGCAAGCGUUACUCGGAAUCAUUGGGCGUAAAGGGCGCGCAGCGGCCUGAUUAGUCAGAUGUGAAAGCCCGAGGCUCAACCUCGGAAGUGCAUUUGAUACUGUC
Molecule: ribosomal RNA, 655 nt
Filed under: uncultured Desulfobacteraceae bacterium
Lineage: Bacteria; Pseudomonadati; Thermodesulfobacteriota; Desulfobacteria; Desulfobacterales; Desulfobacteraceae
Description: bacterial SSU rRNA
Rfam family: Bacterial small subunit ribosomal RNA
Source: RNAcentral